This 360-nucleotide RNase P RNA is filed under the name Apoglossum ruscifolium. RNAcentral describes it as "ribonuclease P RNA". The stretch from base 2 to 178 matches the Rfam family "Bacterial RNase P class A", at positions 44 to 222 of the family's 367-position model. Lineage: Eukaryota; Rhodophyta; Florideophyceae; Ceramiales; Delesseriaceae. The record is from RNAcentral.
GAGGAAAGUCCGGGCUCUAUUUAGAAAAAUAUAGCUAUAUAAAAUAUAGUGUAGGUAACUACGAGGAUAGUGCCACAGAAAUAAACCUGCUGUGAUGAUAAUGUAAGGGUGCAAUGGUACAGUAAAAGCGUAUCAGAAAUAUUUUCAAGAUAUUUGCUAGGUAAACCCCAUAUUAGAGCAAAGUAGUUAGUUGAUAUUUAAUAUUUUCUAUAAUUAUUUAUUUUUGGUACAUCCCAAUUAACUCAUCAAUUUACUGCAUAUAGUAAUAUUUUUAAUAUUACUUAAGAUCAAUAAUUACCCUUAUUUGUUUAUUAUAUUUUUUCACUAAAUUAAUACAAUUAAGAACAAAACCCGGCUUAU